GCUCAGAACGAACGCUGGCGGCAGGCUUAACACAUGCAAGUCGAGCGCCCCGCAAGGGGAGCGGCAGACGGGUGAGUAACGCGUGGGAAUCUACCCUUGACUACGGAAUAACGCAGGGAAACUUGUGCUAAUACCGUAUGUGUCCUUCGGGAGAAAGAUUUAUCGGUCAAGGAUGAGCCCGCGUUGGAUUAGCUAGUUGGUGGGGUAAAGGCCUACCAAGGCGACGAUCCAUAGCUGGUCUGAGAGGAUGAUCAGCCACAUUGGGACUGAGACACGGCCCAAACUCCUACGGGAGGCAGCAGUGGGGAAUAUUGGACAAUGGGCGCAAGCCUGAUCCAGCCAUGCCGCGUGAGUGAUGAAGGCCCUAGGGUUGUAAAGCUCUUUCACCGGAGAAGAUAAUGAC
RNAcentral lists this ribosomal RNA (403 nucleotides) under Rhizobium leguminosarum. RNAcentral's name for it is "bacterial SSU rRNA". It matches the Rfam family "Bacterial small subunit ribosomal RNA", at positions 22 to 455 of the family's 1533-position model. The record is from RNAcentral. Lineage: Bacteria; Pseudomonadati; Pseudomonadota; Alphaproteobacteria; Hyphomicrobiales; Rhizobiaceae.